RNAcentral lists this ribosomal RNA (561 nucleotides) under uncultured bacterium. RNAcentral's name for it is "partial 16S ribosomal RNA". It matches the Rfam family "Bacterial small subunit ribosomal RNA", at positions 355 to 937 of the family's 1533-position model. The record is from RNAcentral.
UGGGGAAUAUUGCACAAUGGGCGAAAGCCUGAUGCAGCAACGCCGCGUGAGUGAUGAAGGCCUUCGGGUUGUAAAGCUCUGUCUUUUGGGACGAUAAUGACGGUACCAAAGGAGGAAGCCACGGCUAACUACGUGCCAGCAGCCGCGGUAAUACGUAGGUGGCAAGCGUUGUCCGGAUUUACUGGGCGUAAAGGAUGCGUAGGCGGAUUUUUAAGUGAGAUGUGAAAACCCUAAGCUUAACUUGGGGACUACAUUUCAUACUGGAAAUCUAGAGUGCGGGAGAGGAGAAUGGAAUUCCUAGUGUAGCGGUGAAAUGCGUAGAGAUUAGGAAGAACACCAGUGGCGAAGGCGAUUCUCUGGACCGUAACUGACGCUGAGGCAUGAAAGCGUGGGUAGCAAACAGGAUUAGAUACCCUGGUAGUCCACGCCGUAAACGAUGAGUACUAGGUGUAGGAGGUAUCGACCCCUUCUGUGCCGCAGUUAACACAAUAAGUACUCCGCCUGGGAAGUACGAUCGCAAGAUUAAAACUUAAAUGAAUUGACGGGGUCAUAGCUGUUUCC